GAGCAGCCCAGCGUGCCCAUUCCAGCGCCCGCGUCCCCGCAGCAUGCCGCGCCCCCGCCUGCUGGCCGCGCUGUGCGGCGCGCUGCUCUGCGCCCCCAGCCUCCUCGUCGCCCUGGUGGGAUUUCUGCAUUUCAGCCAGAGGGACCUGUCUGCAGCUACCAGAUGCUCCCCACCCUGGGAGAGCUCAGCGGCAUGUCUGCACAUGGGCCUUUUCAGCCUUCUUCAUCCCGCAAUUGGAACUGACUUUCCCACUCCCAUCUCACACUUGAGAAUCUCUGUUUCUUGUUUCUUGUUUUUUAUUUUAUUUUUAUUUUUUCUCCCCCCUGGUGGACAAUGGUGAGGAGGGUGAAGGAAGGUUAAAAGCCACUGCUCUACGGGAUGAAAAACUAAACUUGUCAUUCUUCAGAUCCCUCCCAGUCUGGCCCCAGCCUACCC
RNAcentral lists this long non-coding RNA (435 nucleotides) under Homo sapiens (human). RNAcentral's name for it is "non-protein coding lnc-MFGE8-1:2". The record is from RNAcentral. Lineage: Eukaryota; Metazoa; Chordata; Mammalia; Primates; Hominidae.